UACGGGGGGGGCAAGCGUUGUUCGGAAUUACUGGGCGUAAAGGGCUCGUAGGUGGCCAACUAAGUCGGACGUGAAAUCCCUCGGCUUAACCGGGGAACUGCGUCUGAUACUGGAUGGCUUGAGUUCGGGAGAGGGAUGCGGAAUUCCAGGUGUAGCGGUGAAAUGCGUAGAUAUCUGGAGGAACACCGGUGGCGAAGGCGGCAUCCUGGACCAACACUGACACUGAGGAGCGAAAGCCAGGGGAGCAAACGGG
This 253-nucleotide ribosomal RNA is filed under the name uncultured bacterium. Its description in RNAcentral is "partial 16S ribosomal RNA". It matches the Rfam family "Bacterial small subunit ribosomal RNA", at positions 524 to 776 of the family's 1533-position model. The record is from RNAcentral.